RNAcentral lists this ribosomal RNA (305 nucleotides) under uncultured bacterium. RNAcentral's name for it is "bacterial SSU rRNA". It matches the Rfam family "Bacterial small subunit ribosomal RNA", at positions 337 to 639 of the family's 1533-position model. The record is from RNAcentral.
UCCUACGGGGGGCAGCAGUGAGGAAUAUUGGUCAAUGGGCGGGAGCCUGAACCAGCCAAGUCGCGUGAGGGAAGAAGGUACUGAGUAUUGUAAACCUCUUUUGCCAGGGGACAAAGGCGGCCACGGGUGGCCGUAAGAGGGUACCUGGAGAAAAAGCCCCGGCUAACUCCGUGCCAGCAGCCGCGGUAAUACGGAGGGUGCAAGCGUUACUCGGAAUCACUGGGCGUAAAGAGCGCGUAGGCGGGAUAGCAAGUCAGAUGUGAAAUCCUAUGGCUUAACCAUAGAACUGCAUUUGAAACUGUUAU